Molecule: long non-coding RNA, 1236 nt
Organism: Symphalangus syndactylus (siamang)
Lineage: Eukaryota; Metazoa; Chordata; Mammalia; Primates; Hylobatidae
Source: RefSeq, a predicted model, not a curated record
GGGGCAGGGCUCUAGGACAGGAGAGGAAAUUGAACCUCAGAGACAGAGCUGUGUGGUCCCUCUGACUGACUCCAGUGGAAAGAAGAGGGCCCAAGUGGAUCAACCUUCCAGGAUCCAGGCGUCAAGACGGAGCUCUGAUGGCCGGGCAUGGUGGCUCACGCCUGUAAUCCCAGCACUUUGGGAGGCCGACAUGGGAAGAUCACUUGAGGUCAGGAGUUCAAGAUCAGCCUGGCCAACAUGAUGAAACCCUGUUUCUCCUAAAAAUACAAAAAUUAGCCAAUUGUAGUGGUGGGUGCCUGUAAUCUCAGCUACAAAGGAGGCUGAGGCAGGAGAACCACUUGAACCCAGGAGGCAGAGGCUGCAGUGAGCCAAGAUUGCACCACUGCACUCCAGGCUGGGCAACAGAGCAAGACUUCAUCUCAAAAAAAAAUAAAUAAAUAAAUAAAUAAGAGGGAGCUCUGAAUUGGAAGGGCUGACAGUGCAGUGAGUUUUCUGAACAGCAGUGAAAGCUGGGAAGGGGUGGAGGAAAAUGGGGGAAGUGGGGAAAGGGCUUUCUGGGGAGUCCCAGCCCCUAGGUCUCUGGCUAUGCUACAUGACUUUCUGUGCCUCAGUUUCUCCUGAUGCAGCAUUGCUUGGACUACAAUAGAUGAGCCAUUAUUAUUUCUCCCAUAAGGCAGUGUGUGCGUGCUUGCGAGGCAAGCCUGCUCUACCCUGAGCCGAAGUUCUGAGCCCCUCUAGGUGACAGUGACCACCAGCUCAUCACAGGGGAAGGGCUUAGACCAGCACCUGGCAGCUCUGGGGUCGCCUAAGAUGAGUGAGAUGAGGAGUGGCCACAGCUCUGGUGGCUUCAAAUCUCACCCCUUGCACAGCCCUGUGUAUGACCUGGGAGGUUGCCCCCUGGGCACUAAAUGGGGGUGACAUUGUCCCUUGUGCCUCCAAGUGACACAAAAACAUUUGGGACAGGUUGAAGUCAGGCCCGGACCAUGACAGAUGUUUGAUAAAUGAUGGCUGUUUUCUGCCACUUAUUCCUCAAAACGUAGUGGGGCAUGGGGGGCAUUGUUGCAUGUCACAGAGAUGACAACUAAGGCUGGAGAUAUGACGGGGCUGGACGGAGGUUGCCCUGCAGGCCUGGUAUAGAACACAGAGUCUGGCAGAGCCUCUGCACGCAAAUGAAGAUUUCCUGUGGGGUGAAGCAGGUGGGGGUAUCGGGAAAAGGGACCCCAGGCCACAGUGGAA